This 119-nucleotide ribosomal RNA is filed under the name Helianthus annuus (common sunflower). Lineage: Eukaryota; Viridiplantae; Streptophyta; Magnoliopsida; Asterales; Asteraceae. The record is from RNAcentral.
GAUUGCGAUCAUACCAGCACUAAUGCACCGGAUCCCAUCAGAACUCCGCAGUUAAGCGUGCUUGGGCGAGAGUAGUACUAGGAUGGGUGACCCCCUGGAAGUCCUCGUGUUGCAACCCC